RNAcentral lists this long non-coding RNA (505 nucleotides) under Rattus norvegicus (Norway rat). RNAcentral's name for it is "long non-coding RNA NONRATT017161". The record is from RNAcentral. Lineage: Eukaryota; Metazoa; Chordata; Mammalia; Rodentia; Muridae.
UGGGAAGCAUUGUUACUCAAAUUGCUUGUGGAAGGCAGCAUACUUCUGCAUUUGUUCCUUCUUCAGGACGAAUUUACUCCUUCGGUCUCGGUGGUAAUGGGCAGUUGGGAACUGGUUCAACAAGCAACAGAAAAAGCCCUUUCACUGUAAAAGGAAACUGGUUUUCUUAUAAUGGACAAUGUCCACAAGAUAUUGGUUCUGAAGACUAUUUCUGUGUCAAAAGAAUUUUCUCAGGUGGAGAUCAAAGCUUUUCACAUUACUCUAGUCCUCAGAGCUGUGGACCUCCAGAUGACUUUAGACGCUCUGACCCUUCAAAGCAGAUCUGGACAGUGAAUGAAGCUCUGAUUCAGAAAUGGCUCAGCUACCCCUCUGGAAGGUUCCCUGUGGAGAUAGCCAAGUAUGGGAAACAGUCUGCUCAUACACAGUCUUGGGAAGAGUUUUCAUUUAAAUAUUUCAUUGACUGUCAUUUUCUUGGUGGUUUGUAUAUAAACAUUUAAGUACAUAG